Paramuricea clavata is the source of this 101-nucleotide non-coding RNA. The record is from the annotation of a GenBank genome assembly. Lineage: Eukaryota; Metazoa; Cnidaria; Anthozoa; Malacalcyonacea; Plexauridae.
CGAUCCGUAAGCCCGGAUCUUCAUCAGUGCUAAAUGCUAAUAAUAAUAAUUAUUAUUAUGCUAAUAAUUAUAUUAGCACUGAUGAAGAUCCGGGCUUACGG